This 429-nucleotide ribosomal RNA is filed under the name Gemmatimonadota bacterium. RNAcentral describes it as "Gemmatimonadetes bacterium partial 16S ribosomal RNA". It matches the Rfam family "Bacterial small subunit ribosomal RNA", at positions 355 to 776 of the family's 1533-position model. Lineage: Bacteria; Pseudomonadati; Gemmatimonadota. The record is from RNAcentral.
UAGGGAAUCUUCGGCAAUGGACGAAAGUCUGACCGAGCAACGCCGCGUGAGUGAAGAAGGUUUUCGGAUCGUAAAACUCUGUUGUUAGAGAAGAACAAGGACGUUAGUAACUGAACGUCCCCUGACGGUAUCUAACCAGAAAGCCACGGCUAACUACGUGCCAGCAGCCGCGGUAAUACGUAGGUGGCAAGCGUUGUCCGGAUUUAUUGGGCGUAAAGCGAGCGCAGGCGGUUUCUUAAGUCUGAUGUGAAAGCCCCCGGCUCAACCGGGGAGGGUCAUUAGAAACUGGGAGACUUGAGUGCAGAAGAGGAGAGUGGAAUUCCAUGUGUAGCGGUGAAAUGCGUAGAUAUAUGGAGGAACACCAGUGGCGAAGGCAGCUCUCUGGUCUGUAACUGGCGCUGAGGCUCGAAAGCGUGGGGAGCAAACAGG